Molecule: unclassified non-coding RNA, 1300 nt
Filed under: Bombus terrestris (buff-tailed bumblebee)
Lineage: Eukaryota; Metazoa; Arthropoda; Insecta; Hymenoptera; Apidae
Description: misc RNA ENSBTSG00005027206.1
Source: RNAcentral
AACCGUCGGGGCUCAUCGUUAGGUGACGCGACGCCCGUAUGCUCGUGUGCGAUAAAAAUUGUCCAACGAAUCAAGCAAGGCGAACGAAGUUGCGAAACCUAUAGAUCACGAAUCGUACUACUUUUUAUGUAUUACACACUUUUCAUGGAUGAAGAAUACCAAAUUUUGGGUAGAAAAUAUCUGAAGAGAAACGAGUUCGAGCUCGAAAAAAACAAAAAAAAAAAAAUAAAAAGGACAGCAAGAUUAAUAAAAUAAGUCAAAUGUAGAUGAUGAAAAUUAUAGCACUCGCUAUCCUUAUUGAUUCCUAUUACGAUUUACUGAUAUACGCCAUCGUAUCCAUCGGUCCACAAAAAAUAGGUGAUAUUUUCAUGAAUAUAGCGCGCAUGCGUAGAAUGCACGCGUAUGUUAAACACAAUGCGUAUUCGUCUAUGUCCGCACGCGCGCGGAUACAGUCGUAUUUAUGAAGCACACACAGAAAUCACAUGUGUGUAAAUAUUUUUCGAACUUUGUGAAUCCUUAAACGAAAAACUCUAUCAUUGAGAGAAAAUCAAUAAAACACAAUCUCUGAAACAUAAACGUCAACAACAUCGCGAAGUGCACGUAACGUUACAUUUCCAAAUGUAAUCAUACGGUCAAAGUACAUUUAACCAUCACUCACCAUAGAAAUGUAGAAAACGAUAUUAUGAGUAUAAAACUAUCUUUUGUAUGCAUAAAAUUUUAACUUAUAUUAACAUCUUUUGUAGAUCUAUGUAUUUUACACAAUAAUAACACGGUACAUAUUCAAAUCAUGACAGGUUAAGUGCCAUGCUUACAAGUGACCGCCAUUGCCAAAAUGAAUUGAAGUAUUCGAGUGAAAGAAACAGUCAUAUUCGUAACAUUUGUAAUACUUUUAAUGUUAUAAUACCAAUAUAAAGUAUUAAAUGCAUCAUAAAACAUUUAAACAAUCUUAUUCUUUUAUACAAUUACAUCCAAUGCUAUGUACAGUAACAAUAUACACAAAACGUAACAAAGUGUAAUAUAACAAUGUAAUAUAAAAUUUUAGUCAACAUGUUAGUAACUAACAAUGUUCAGAAUUUAUUUAAAUAUUAAUGAUACAGUAAUGACAUAUACGCAAUUGUUAUGAAUACGAGCCGCGAAGAACGACAGGCGUUCGAACGACACGCACACGUAUGUAGAUUAUAAAAAAAUAUGUGCUUACCUUUGAACGUAUUGCGGACGAGAGUCAUGCUCAUAUUCGCGUGAGCGCGAGCCAGUGCUCCCCGAGGUACGUCUUGCGUUUCUUCGACAAUUCCGCCAGGUU